Molecule: ribosomal RNA, 429 nt
Filed under: Bacteroidota bacterium
Lineage: Bacteria; Pseudomonadati; Bacteroidota
Description: Bacteroidetes bacterium partial 16S ribosomal RNA
Rfam family: Bacterial small subunit ribosomal RNA
Source: RNAcentral
UAGGGAAUCUUCGGCAAUGGGGGGAACCCUGACCGAGCAACGCCGCGUGAGUGAAGAAGGUUUUCGGAUCGUAAAGCUCUGUUGUUAAGGAAGAACGAGUGUGAGAAUGGAAAGUUCAUGCUGUGACGGUACUUAACCAGAAAGGGACGGCUAACUACGUGCCAGCAGCCGCGGUAAUACGUAGGUCCCGAGCGUUGUCCGGAUUUAUUGGGCGUAAAGCGAGCGCAGGCGGUUAGAAAAGUCUGAAGUGAAAGGCAGUGGCUCAACCAUUGUAGGCUUUGGAAACUGUUUAACUUGAGUGCAGAAGAGGAGAGUGGAAUUCCAUGUGUAGCGGUGAAAUGCGUAGAUAUAUGGAGGAACACCAGUGGCGAAGGCGACUCUCUGGUCUGUAACUGAGGCUGAGGCUCGAAAGCGUGGGUAGCAAACAGG